CUUCGGCCUGCCCCUCUCUGACUAUUCUACCCGUGUCUUUUGCGUACUAUUUGUUUCCUCGGUGGGCUUGCCCGCCGAUAGGACACUAUAAAAACCUUUUGUAAUUGCAGUCAGCGUCAGUAAAAACUUAAUAGUUACAACUUUCAACAACGGAUCUCUUGGUUCUGGCAUCGAUGAAGAACGCAGCGAAAUGCGAUAAGUAGUGUGAAUUGCAGAAUUCAGUGAAUCAUCGAAUCUUUGAACGCACAUUGCGCCCCUUGGUAUUCCAUGGGGCAUGCCUGUUCGAGCGUCAUUUGUACCCUCAAGCGUUGCUUGGUGUUGGGCGUCUUGUCCCGCGUUUGCGUGUGGACUCGCCUUAAAGCGAUUGGCAGCCGGCAUAUUGGCCUUGGAGCGCAGCACAAUUUGCGUUUCUAGUCAUGAAUGUUGGCGUCCAUUAAGCCUAUAACAUUUGCUCUUGACCUCGGAUCAGGUAGGGAUACCCGCUGAACUUAAGCAUAUCAAUAA
RNAcentral lists this unclassified non-coding RNA (504 nucleotides) under Coniothyrium telephii. RNAcentral's name for it is "sequence contains ITS1, 5.8S rRNA gene and ITS2". The stretch from base 139 to 292 matches the Rfam family "5.8S ribosomal RNA". Lineage: Eukaryota; Fungi; Ascomycota; Dothideomycetes; Pleosporales; Coniothyriaceae. The record is from RNAcentral.